GCCCGAGCACUACGAGCCACAGCUUAAAACUCAAAGGACUUGGCGGUGCCCUACACCCACCUAGAGGAGCCUGUUCUAUAAUUGAUAUUCCACAAUAAACCUCACCCCCUCUCGCCAAUACAGUCUAUAUACCACCGUCGUAAGCUUACCCCCACCAGGCAAGACAGUAGGCCCAAGAAUUUAAAAUUUAAAAGUCAGGUCAAGGUGUAACACAUGGGGCGGAAAGAAAUGGGCUACAUUUUCUUUAAAGAAAACACGAAACAUUAUGUGAAAUAUAAUGUGAAGGAGAAUUUAGCAGUAAACAGAAAAAAGAGUGUUCUCUUUAAUUUGGCAAUAGGGCAAGCACACACCGCCCGUCACCCUCUCCAACCAAAAUAAAUUUAAUAAAGUAUAAAUUAUAGAGAAGAGGAAAGUCGUAACAUGGUAAGUCUACCGGAAGGUGGCCUUGGAUU
RNAcentral lists this ribosomal RNA (452 nucleotides) under Dendrotriton bromeliacius (Volcan Tajumulco bromelidad salamander). Its description in RNAcentral is "partial 12S ribosomal RNA". It matches the Rfam family "Bacterial small subunit ribosomal RNA", at positions 871 to 1524 of the family's 1533-position model. The record is from RNAcentral. Lineage: Eukaryota; Metazoa; Chordata; Amphibia; Caudata; Plethodontidae.